Molecule: long non-coding RNA, 3714 nt
Organism: Ictidomys tridecemlineatus (thirteen-lined ground squirrel)
Lineage: Eukaryota; Metazoa; Chordata; Mammalia; Rodentia; Sciuridae
Source: RefSeq, a predicted model, not a curated record
UCAAAGGCCAGGGCCCUCCAUCCUCUUUGCCUUUAUUUUCUGUUCUUCUUACUAUCUCAGCAAAGACACCACAGCUGGCCUGAGAGCUUGGCGGCUCCUGCAGCUGCCAGCUCUUUAGAAACAAUGGGUCACACGGGCUGAGGCUGGCCACUGUGUCCCCAGCUGACAGGCAUCUGCACAGACCAUGUUCCUGGCCAUGAGGGAGUCCCCUGCUACAGCCUGAGCUGAGGACGCCUGCAGGGUGGGUGCUGGAGCCACUCUGAGGCAGGCCUGUGGCUGCCAGCGAAGGACACAGUCAUCAGUGAGUUUGGCUUCGUGGCCUCCUGUCCUCACAUUUCCCAGUGGGACCUUCCUCUAGCUCAGGAAGCUGUGGAUACGGGUAGCUUUCAGUAGCCCUGAAUUUGCUUCCUUAAGAUGGUGAGUGAGUUGCCAACAAAACCACAGAAUUGCAACCAAUGGUCAACCAAGGGGCCACUUAAAUGGAAACCACCCUGUGAGGAGCAAAGAGAGGCAUAAGGAGACAGCAAGUGAAGUGACCCGCGGUCAUAGCUUUAGACAACUCUGGAGAUGACCUUCAAGUUGCACAUGGAAAAUGAGAAGAGGCCUACACGUGGAGGGCUGAGGGGAGCCCCAGGCGCGGGGCACAGCAAAGGCAAAGCUCCCCGGUCUCCGUGUGUCAUGGAAGGGGAAGGAGGCCAGCGCAGCCGGACCAACAGAAACCUCGGAGCAACCUGGAAAGAGGGUUUCCUGGUCGACAUGUCUCUGUUGGAGAGAAGGAGAAAGUUUCCAGCCAAAGCUGUAACAAGUCAGCCAAGCUUUUAUUCUCACUGCUCAGCGUAACCUACGUCUCCAGGAUUUGGUCACAUUUCCUGGCACCUAUGGAAGCAGGAGGAAGAGGGCUGACCAACCCCAUGGCUGGCCUCUUGCCCCCCCCCCAGGAGCAAGGGAAGGAGAGCGAGCAGGAAGAAGCACAGCUUGAGUGGACUUCAGGCCUUCAUCUCCAGAGGCCCACCACUGACAACACUGUCACUGGAACCAGAGGGACAUCUCUCCUCCUGGGCCAAACAUGCAUGUGGGGCUUCAUCCAAAUAUAGACCUUCAAGACUGGAUUUUGAGUUUUUGCUUGAAAAAAAUACUGUACACUGUUUUAGGGCUGAUUUGCCAGGUGCUGCUGUUGUAAGAACAUUCUCAGUUCCUAUCUUUCGAGGACGUGGGCAUUAUUUCUUCAUGUGCAGGGCAUCCUGGAACUUGGUGCUGGUAUAUCGAGCAUGAAAGCCUUUCUUGUUGAUGGUGUCAUCCGUGUGGAAGCGAAUCAUCAAGGAAUCCCCUGCAGAGUAGAUCUCUUCCAGUGGCUAAGAAAAGGAGAAAGGGAUACCAGGAGACCUGAGGUCAGUUGGCUGUGACUAGAGUUUAAACGAGGAUGGGACAGGACCAUACCCAAGGACACAGGAUGGCCAAUGCAGCUACGAGGUGUCCCUGGCCCUGCAGACAGAGGGCAUCCAAAUGAGAUCCUUUCCACAGGAAAGCACUGCAAAUUCUCCAGAAAGUUCCCUGAGCCCUGCUUUUCCAAACACGCUCCUAGACCCACAGAUCACAGAGAACCUGUGGUUUAUGAGGUGCACGGAUGGUUCAGGCACUGUGCCCAGCACUUCCAGAUCUGACCUCAUGGACACUUGCAGGAACUUUAUGAGGCAGAUACUCCCUCCAUCCACACUGAGGAAACCAAGACUCAAGUGCACACAGGUGGGUAGGAUCUGAGCUCAGCUCUUUCUGACUGUGAAUUACGUGCCAUACAUCACCCAGCUCUGUCAAUUCACCACUGUGUUUCCCAGGGGACCAAAAUCUUCAGGUUAUGUCCUGUCCAAGGACAAAAAGUGCACUGGAGCUGACUACACCUGUCAGAAAGGUUCUGGCAAGUUCUAGGACUGCCACCUGCCAGGUCCUAGUAGAGCCAAAUGGGGCUUCCCACAGAGCGCUGUGCUUGAGACCCACCAAGGCUCCUCUCCACAGUGGAAAGGACCAUACCCCAGGCAGCGCAUCUGGGAAGUCACACUCUGUCAUUCCUUCUUUUUUGGAGGGUGAAGGUAGAUGGAGGGAAAUUAUUGAAAGACGUAAAUAUACCAUGUCAGUUUUCUGUCUACAAGGAGCUCCCGUGAUUCCAAAGGCUUUGACAUAAGUCCAGCCAAUAGCAAAGAAGAUUGAGUGAUGACCCCUGGAGGCAGAGAAAAGGGCUGGAGCCCAGUGUGCGCAGUGUGCGGUGUGGCAGGGCCAGGGAGCCACCAGGGCAUUGUACUGGUUGGCUCACUACAUCACUGAGCGCAGUAUACAGCCAGGCCCUGAGCCCUGUGCUGGGAAAAGAAUAAACAAAACAGGCCUGUCCUGGUCCUGGGUCGGUGGUCUAGGAAAGAGACAAACAUGAGAAAAGUGACAGUGACUUUGAGUACAAGUAUUAUUUACAGUAACUGCUUAUUUCAUAAGCAUUUGGCUUUGCAUGGGGAGAGAAUUAUGAGUAUAGGGAAUAUACAGAAUCAUAAUUAAAUAGUAAGAAAUUCCUGAAAGAAAAAAAAAAUGGGAGAGAGGAUCCUUUGUAAAAAUAGGGCCUAAAAGCCCAGUACUCUUCCUUGGACUGACCUCAGUCCAAAGCCUUCAUGAACUGGUUCCCGACUCCCUCCCAACCUCCUCUCCCGGGAGCCUCCUGUUUCCCCCUCCCCUGCAGGAAACAUGGGCCUCCUGACUGUUGCUAUAAGCGUUAGGAACAGUUAGGUCUCAAACUCAUGCUCUGAAUCCCUGGUUUUCGCCCAUGGCACUGGCACUGGGGACUCACCCCUGAGCCACAGAAGCGGCCGAGCCUGGGUGCUGAGCUGUCGUAGCCGUCGUAGGCCUCCAUGUAGUCAUAGCCACAGUCGGCCUCCUCCUCCACCUCAAAGGUCCGGAAUAUCAGCUCCACGCCGUAGCCGUCCUCUGCCACGAUCACCCAGUCACAGUGGGCCUGGCUUGGGUAGUUGUUGUCCCCAAACUGGGCAUGGGAAUACAGCUCUUUGGUCUGCACUUCGGCCUUCAGCCUGCCCCCACACUCUGCAGCAGAGAGAAUGAGAUCUUCCCUUGGCACCCAGAACCCCCGUGCCUGGUGCGUGCCCUGCAGGGGAGGCCAGGCAAGGCCGUUAUGCCAUGUCACAGGGGAGUCAACAGAGGCCCGGGAUUCCAAGGUCAGGGAUCCCUGAGGGGCCAAACUGGCCCUUACCAAACAAGGUUCCAUGUUCCCAUGGUGGGCCACAUCAGGCCUCUGGGAAUCCCAGAGCAUGGCGCUGAAAAGCUGGCUGUUGUUUUUCUCCCCACACUUAAGAAGACGGGGGUAGAUGAACGGUGUGCCCCACUGGUUGCUGGGAUGUGGGAUCUGGUUUCAAGUCCUGGAAGUGCCAGCAGCUCAAGAUGGGCUCAGCAGCCCCCUAGACUUACUGUCACUUUUCAUUUCUGCCAACAGAGGGCGAUAAAGGCACAUCAGAACUGCAGCUGAGUGCCCAAACCCAGAGACCUCAAUCUACUGGACUGGCUCUUGCAUUUGGGAGGUUUGACGCGGGUGUCACAGCCACACCUCAGCUUUGGGCUUGGAUUCCGUAGCCUUGGCUUCUGUGUUUUACCAGGACAGAAGCCCAGGAUGCCCUGGGCCUGUACCAUCUUGGGUCUAGGCUACUAAAAUAAAAUGGGUAAAUGAGA